GGCCGAGUGGCCUAAUGGUAAGGCGUUGCUUUCCGGUAAUCUCCGGUAUCUCCGGUAAGAUUGGGAUGCAGCAAAGAUUGCGCGUUCGAGUCGCGUCUUGGUCG
Aspergillus egyptiacus is the source of this 104-nucleotide non-coding RNA. The record is from the annotation of a GenBank genome assembly. Lineage: Eukaryota; Fungi; Ascomycota; Eurotiomycetes; Eurotiales; Aspergillaceae.